UGAAAUAUUAGUUCUGGUUGCUAGUGCAGAUCUGGACUCGGAUCAAGGGUGUCGAGAGGGUCCUGGGUCCUGUUCCUUUGCCUUUCAAAAAGACUUUUUACGGAUUGAGAAUUUUUAAAUACCACUAGGGGAAAGGUGAAGGUUCUUUGCAGCCUUCAGUGUUGAAAUGGACGAAGGUAAGGAAGGCAAAUCAUUUUAAGACGAAAUCUCCGAUUUUUUAAAAAAGGAGGAAAAAAGCAGGGUGGCUAAGGAUAAAGAAAGAGGACUUGAGAAAAUGUGGAGAAUGAAAAACAGGAGAGCAGCGAGCAAAAGCAAAGAUCCAGAGUUCAAAGAGACUGGCAGAAGGAAAUAGCUGCGGGCUGAGUGCUGAAGAGGGGAGGGACUGACGGCUGCCGGCCGGUAGGAGCGCGGAGCUGCGCUGCGGCGGCCCAGGAGCUGCUGCGGUUCCCGCUGCUCGGGGAGCAGGCGGUGUGUGCGCGGCUGCGAAGUCGAGGUUGAAACUGCACCGCCAAGGCGCGCUCCUGCUGUGUCUGGAGCUCCGGCGUCUCCUCUGCCUCCCAGCUCAGCGCCUCCCACCCUCCUUCCCUCCUCCUCUUCCCAGCUCCCCCGCCCUCUGCUGCUCGCAGCCUCGCCAGUGAGAAUCUACUGUAAGUGUGAGUUGCUUCGACGAAGUCACACACCCACGGAGGGAAGUAAUCUGGAGGCUGCCUUGGAGUCUGAAAGCAGGUUCUUUUUAUUAUAAUGUGCUCCGAAUGGAUGAAGCAAAUUUAGAGGAAGAGCAGUGAAUCAGUUUCUCAGUUUGGCAAAAAGCCUCACGGGCAUGUACAGGAAGCCUUCCUGCAGACAUCCACAGUGAACAAGUCUAAGGACAAUAGCUUUCGUUGGCCCCCAAUAGAAGGCAUUUUUAGUGAUGUGUGGCCUCACCACUUAAAUCCAGUUUAUUGAAUCUGAAGUGAUUUGCUCCUCUUUCUGGACUACACAAUAAACACCCUCCAACGUCCCCAGCCAUGCUCUUCCCAUCAUUUGGCUGAAAGGGGAGGAAUUCAAGGCCUUAGAGUGGGGAAGCUACAAUUUGGAAGAAUCCUGGAAGCACAGAUUACCCUGUGAAGCAGCAUCCCCAUGAGGGUCUCUUUCUUCUGUGAUAUAAGCAAGAAAUAAAUGAAUUGUGCAAAUCCAGAAGUCUCAAGGUGACAAUAGUCCUCAGGCAGACAAGAAGGAAUAAGGGUUUGAGAUGAAUGGCUACAGCUGAGAGUAUGCU
Molecule: long non-coding RNA, 1258 nt
Filed under: Homo sapiens (human)
Lineage: Eukaryota; Metazoa; Chordata; Mammalia; Primates; Hominidae
Description: HSALNT0073053
Source: RNAcentral